UGCCAGCCGCCGCGGUAAGACGAACCGUGCGAACGUUAUUCGGAAUCAUUGGGCUUAAAGAGCACGUAGGCGGCGUCGUAAGUUGGAAGUGAAAUCCCACGGCUCAACCGUGGAACUGCCUCCAAUACUGCGAUGCUUGAGGGAGGUAGGGGCCUGUGGAACUUCCGGUGGAGCGGUGAAAUGUGUUGAGAUCGGAAGGAACGCCAGUGGCGAAAGCGACAGGCUGGAUCUUUUCUGACGCUGAGGUGCGAAAGCUAGGGUAGCGAACGGGAUUAGAUA
This 279-nucleotide ribosomal RNA is filed under the name uncultured bacterium. Its description in RNAcentral is "partial 16S ribosomal RNA". It matches the Rfam family "Bacterial small subunit ribosomal RNA", at positions 506 to 784 of the family's 1533-position model. The record is from RNAcentral.